Molecule: microRNA precursor, 205 nt
Organism: Oryza rufipogon (brownbeard rice)
Lineage: Eukaryota; Viridiplantae; Streptophyta; Magnoliopsida; Poales; Poaceae
Rfam family: MIR812 microRNA precursor family
Source: Rfam
AAAAAGACAAACCCUGGGUUUCCGUGUCCAACUUUGACCGUCCGUCUUAUAUGAAAUUUUUUUACAAUUUGUAUUUUCGCUGUUGUUAGAUGAUAAAACAUGAUUAAUAUUUUAUGCGUGACUUGUCUUUUUAAUUUUUUUCAUAAUCUUUUUAAAUAAGACGGACGGUUAAACAUUGGACACGGAAACCAGGGUUUGUCUUUUU